Long non-coding RNA from Cyprinodon tularosa, 563 nucleotides. RefSeq lists it as uncharacterized. The transcript is spliced from 3 exons. Lineage: Eukaryota; Metazoa; Chordata; Actinopteri; Cyprinodontiformes; Cyprinodontidae. The record is from RefSeq and is a predicted model, not a curated record.
AAAUUGUGUGUUCAAUACUUAGUUAGAUUUCACCUGUUGUAUAGUAAAUGCUCCACUUAUUUUAAAGGGAAUAAAAAACAGAUGGGAACAGUUGGAAAUAAACAACCCCAAAGGUGGCACCGAAAAUCUGCAGCCAGAAGACUUUGUCGUUGAUGUAAAAGAAAUAAACUAUGGGAUGAAGGAAAAUGACCCAAUAGAGCAUGUGUGGUUCUACAAAAAGGACAAUCCAACAAAGCCCUUCAAACUGGAUAAAAAUCAAGUUUCUAACCUUCUUCCAGGAACAUUCAGCGAGAAAAUAAUCAGAAUCUACUGCAAGAAGACGACUAAGGAGACUCUGAAAGCUGACCAAAUUCACUUCGAGAAAUAUAAGAAGAUACAUGACGGAAUGAUCAAUGCAUAAGUGCUGCUUUUCUUUGAGCUGUAUUUGACAGCAGCAGAACAGCUAUUUUAAGGCAAUCAUUAUUAAUUUCCUAAUUGUUACUAAUACGUUUUUAUAGAUAUUGAUUUGCUAAUUUAUACCCCUAACAGCUGGGUAAUGUGAAUAAGGCCAGAACAAUGGGUGA